RNAcentral lists this long non-coding RNA (391 nucleotides) under Phasianus colchicus (ring-necked pheasant). RNAcentral describes it as "lncRNA (ENSPCLG00000007264.1)". Lineage: Eukaryota; Metazoa; Chordata; Aves; Galliformes; Phasianidae. The record is from RNAcentral.
CCAACCCAUGAGCAUUUUCAUCCAAUUAACCCCUGUCCUGCUGAGGAGGGACAGUGAGUGGCUGGUAGGCAUCUCGCAGCUGGCUGAGGUCAACCCACUGCAGCAUGUAAUGCACUGCAGUACUGCUGUUUGGAGAGUUGAGAAAAAAGUUACAAGGUGUACAGAGAAAGAUCAAAACGUCCAUCAGACUGAUUAUUUGUUGCAGAUGCUGUUUCCAGAUCCUAAUUAUGCUGAUAUCUUUUAAGCAACCACUAAUGAUAUGUCUGCUGUUGCUAUGAAAAUGCAUGCAAAGUAGAAGUGCACAUUAAGAGAAAUGGGGUUGAAGGUAUGAAGGAACUGUCGUAUUCUGAGAAUUAAUAAAUGGAUCUGGACAGGCUGGAUAGCUGGGCUG